This 1619-nucleotide long non-coding RNA is filed under the name Mytilus galloprovincialis (Mediterranean mussel). Lineage: Eukaryota; Metazoa; Mollusca; Bivalvia; Mytilida; Mytilidae. The record is from RNAcentral.
CAAAAUACAGUGAAUUCACUUAAUAAUUAUUAUGAUUUCAAGGACUGCUACAUAGGAAUUAAAAGAUCAGAAUUCCCACUUGUGAGGUCUAAAAAAAGCAGUCAGAAUUUUGAUAAAGAUAUUCCAAAAAAUCCAGAAUUUACAAUGUACUGUCCUAAGUUUAUGGUAUAUUUUUAAACUUUCAUCCUGGUCUUCUAGCAGCUUCUGUUUCAAAACCUAAAGAAUUCUGGGCAAUUGCAUUGUUCCUACACCAAAGUGAAAGUAUGGUGGCAAAGUGAUGUUAGUAGUUCCACUACUGAAUCAGACACUCCCCUGCCAACAACACUGAGGUUGUUAGUAUGAAUCUAGGACAUGUCAGGGGCAAUUGACUCCCCUGUCAACAACACUGAGGUUGUAAGUAUGAAUCUAGGACAUGUCAGGGGCGAUUGACUCCCCUGUCAACAACACUGAGGUUGUAAGUAUGAAACUAGGACAUGUCAGGGGCGAUUGACUCCAAUCUUAAUUGACUAGGAUUGCCCGUUAAUAUGAAUCUAGGACAUGUUUAAUUGAACCGUAGGACAUUCAGGGCGAUUGACUCCAAUCUUAAUUGACUAGGAUAGCCAGUUUUCCUAAUGAAGGUCAGUAAACUUCUCCAGGCACUCUGGCUUCCUCCACCAAAAAAAACAAAAAAAACUGGCUGCAACAAAAUAGCCCAAAAGCGGCAUUAAAACACCAACAAUAAAUUGUAUUACAUUAAAAAAAAUCAGAUAUUCAUUCAUUCAUCAAAAUUUGUAAAGAUUAUUGCUCAUUUUUCAACACAUAGUAAUAACAAUUGAUUUAUGUAUUGUUAUCCCUUUCAUCAAAAGAUGUUAUGUGAUUGUUAUAGUAAUCAAAGGUACCAGGAUUUGAUACGCCAGACACACGUUUAUGACACUGCUCAUUUAUACAUUUUUCAUUUAUGAAUUUCAUAUAAAUUUAGAUUUCACACCCAGAUUGUUUUCUGCGAAAUUGUGAAAGGUUAUGCUAAAUGUCACAUAAAUAUUUACUCUCUUUUUAUAUUAGUUGUGAUUUAUUGGGGUCGGGAUGGGGUUAGUUUUCUUGUUUAAAUUGUUUUACAUUGUCAUUUAUGUCAUUUAGGGCCUUUUAUAGCUGACUAUGCUUUAUGGGCUUUGCUCAUUGUUAAAGGCCGUACAGUGACUUAACGUUGUUAAUUUCGGUGUCAUUUUGGUCUCAUUGGCAAUCAUACCACAUCUUUUUUUUUCAUAUUUACAUAUUAGAAACUAAUGGGCAAAAUAUAGAGAUUGAAGGGACUAAAUAAAAUAAGAAUAGAGAAAAUUAGACAAAAAAUUGUAAGGAUAGAGAAAAAUUGCCAAACAAAUUAAAGAAUAGAGAGAAAUUGUCAAUCAAAAAUAAAAGAUAACAAUAUUAAUGGCCCCUAAAAAUAUGUAAUAUGGAAAGUAAAUCUGCCCACUAAUCCACCACACCUUCAGAAGGGCAAUUUUGAUAUUAGAUGUUUGUAUGUAAAUUGUUUAAAAAAAAAAAAAGAGGUUACUACAGGAUAAUGCCAUUUUAAUAGCGUAUUGUUGGUGUAGGGUACAACAAGGCGGAAACUAAAAGAGAAAAAAAUGCGUGGUUGGAAA